CCCCCCGCCAGGAAAUUACGAGCCAUCUUAAAACCCAAAGGACUUGACGGUGCCCCAUCCACCUAGAGGAGCCUGUUCUAUAAUCGAUACCCCCCGAUACACCUCACCACCCCUUGCCCACAGUCUGUAUACCUCCGUCGCAAGCUUACCAUGUAAACGCCAGUAAGCUAAAAGAUAUUACCAUCAACACGUCAGGUCAAGGUGCAACUAACGGGAUGGAAAGAAAUGGGCUACAAUUUCUAUAAUAGAAUAUACAAAAACCUACAUGCAACAUAGCCUCAAGGCGGAUUUAGUAGUAAAAAGAAAACAGAAUAUCCUUUUUAAUCAGGCACUGAGGCGCGUACACACCGCCCGUCACCCUCUUCAAAUAAUUAUUCAUAAGAAGAGGCAAGUCGUAACACGGUAAGCGUACUGGAAGGUGCGCUUGGAUAACCAAAAUGUAGCUUACUUUAAAGCACUUCGCUUACACCAAAGAGAUGUCUAAACUUAGACCAUUUUGAGCCCCAACUCUAGCCCCCCACCUUAUUUUCCCCUCCUAAACCCAAUAAAACAUUUUUACAAUUCAGUAGAGGCGAUCAAAAAAUAAGUAAGAGCCAUAGAUACAGUACCGUAAGGGAAAUAUGAAAUAUUACUUAAAGCAUAAAAUAGCAAAGACUAAAUCUUGUACCUUUUGCAUCAUGGUCUAGCCAGUAUAAUCAAGCAAAACGCACUUACAGUUUGACACCCCGAAACUAAGCGAGCUACUUUAGAACAGCAUAUAGCGCCAACCCAUCCAUAUUGCAAAAUGGUGGGAAGAUUUUAAAGUAGAGGUGACACACCUACCGAGCCUAGAGAUAGCUGGUUAUUCAGAAAAAGGAUUUUAGUCCUACCUUAAGCCCAACUAGCAAUUACUAGACACCCCCCAAUGCUUAAAAGUCAUUCAAAUAAGGUUCAGCCUAUUUGAACAAGGAAACAGCCUAACAUCUUGGGUACUAAUAUAUAACAUGACUAAGUAGGCCUAAGAGCAGCCAACUUCCAAAAAGCGUCCAAGCUUCCCCGUAACAAUUCUUUAUACCACCACUUUUUAACAACCCACAACCACCACUGAAUGAUCUUAUAUUUAUAUAGGAAACAUAAUGCUAGAACUAGUAAUAAGAACUGAAAUUCUCUAAAAUGUAAAUGUGAGCCAAAAUGGACUGCCUUUGGCACUUACCCGCCCAUAUUAAUGUAGCCACCCCAACAAGAAAAUUCUACAACACUUAACGUCAACCUCACACUAGAACAUCUCUGGAAAGAUUAAAAGGGGGGGAAGGAACUCGGCAAAUAUCAGCCCCGCCUGUUUACCAAAAACAUCGCCUCUUGUAAAACAUAAGAGGUCCGACCUGCCCAGUGACACUAGUUAAACGGCCGCGGUACCCUAACCGUGCAAAGGUAGCACAAUCACUUGUUCUUUAAAUCAGGACUAGUAUGAACGGCCACACGAGGGCUAUACUGUCUCCCCCCCCCAAUCAAUGAAACUGAUCUACCCGUGAAGAAGCGGGCAUAUCCUAAUAAGACGAGAAGACCCCAUGGAACUUAAAACUCGUAUCACUGCCACAACACACCACAUUAAGCAACAUGAAUACUAGUCUUUCGGCUGGGGCGACCACGGAGAAAAACUAAACCUCCACGAUGAAAGGCAACCCCUAAUCUUAGACCUACCGCUCCAAGAAUCAAUAAAUUGACCCUUUGACCCAACACUUGAUCAACGAACCAAGCUACCCUGGGGAUAACAGCGCAAUCCAUUUCAAGAGACCCCAUCGACAAAUGGGCUUACGACCUCGAUGUUGGAUCAGGGUACCCAAGUGGUGCAGCCGCU
Molecule: unclassified non-coding RNA, 1837 nt
Filed under: Anilany helenae
Lineage: Eukaryota; Metazoa; Chordata; Amphibia; Anura; Microhylidae
Description: partial contains 12S ribosomal RNA, tRNA-Val, and 16S ribosomal RNA
Rfam family: Bacterial small subunit ribosomal RNA (bases 1-440)
Source: RNAcentral